CGGACGGGUGAGUAAUGUCUGGGAAACUGCCUGAUGGAGGGGGAUAACUACUGGAAACGGUAGCUAAUACCGCAUAACGUCGCAAGACCAAAGGAGGGGACCUUCGGGCCUCUUGCCAUCGGAUGUGCCCAGAUGGGAUUAGCUAGUAGGUGGGGUAACGGCUCACCUAGGCGACGAUCCCUAGCUGGUCUGAGAGGAUGACCAGCCACACUGGAACUGAGACACGGUCCAG
This 232-nucleotide ribosomal RNA is filed under the name uncultured bacterium. RNAcentral describes it as "partial 16S ribosomal RNA". It matches the Rfam family "Bacterial small subunit ribosomal RNA", at positions 99 to 334 of the family's 1533-position model. The record is from RNAcentral.